Molecule: ribosomal RNA, 417 nt
Filed under: uncultured prokaryote
Description: bacterial SSU rRNA
Rfam family: Bacterial small subunit ribosomal RNA
Source: RNAcentral
AGUAACACGUAUGCAACCUACCUGUAAAUGGGGAAUAACCCAAAGAAAUUCGGACUAAUACCGCAUAAUACUGUAAAGCCGCAUGGUUUAGCAGUUAAAUAUUUAUAGUUUACAGAUGGGCAUGCGUAUGAUUAGCUAGUUGGUAGGGCAACGGCCUACCAAGGCAACGAUCAUUAGGGGUUCUGAGAGGAAGGUCCCCCACAUUGGAACUGAGACACGGUCCAAACUCCUACGGGAGGCAGCAGUGAGGAAUAUUGGUCAAUGGACGAGAGUCUGAACCAGCCAAGUCGCGUGAAGGAAGAAGGUUCUAUGGAUUGUAAACUUCUUUUGCAGGGGAAUAAAGUGCGCUACGUGUAGCGUUUUGUAUGUACUCUGCGAAUAAGGAUCGGCUAACUCCGUGCCAGCAGCCGCGGUAAU